RNAcentral lists this ribosomal RNA (939 nucleotides) under Triticum aestivum (bread wheat). Its description in RNAcentral is "partial small subunit ribosomal RNA". Lineage: Eukaryota; Viridiplantae; Streptophyta; Magnoliopsida; Poales; Poaceae. The record is from RNAcentral.
AUGCACCACGCACCCGCACAACCCCGUCUCCGGCGACACUGCGUCGGGGGACAUGACCCGCGUGGUGCUCUCCGCCAACGCCACCGACGGCAGGAACCCGUUGGGCCCGGUGUCGUUCACCGCCGUGACGUCCUGCGCGCCGGACUCCCUGUUAGCGGGGCUGCCGGCGGGGGCCGUCGGAGUCGCGGGGCUCGCGCGCUCGGGCCUCUCGUUCCCCGCUCAGGUCGCGCGCACGCAAGGCGUCCUAACUCGUUCGCGCUCUGCCUCCCAAGCGGCCCAGGAAACGGCGUCGCCAUCUUCGGCGGUGGCCCGCUCAUCGCGGCGAAUGGGCGGCCACUGACGGAGAUGCUGGUCGGCGAGACCCCCCUUCGCAAGCACAAGGAAUCCCCCGGCUACUACAUCUCGGCGAGCAAGGGCAUCGCCGUGGACGGAGCGCAGGUGCCGGUGGGCCAGUACGCACCGCUCACCAUCGGCCUUUCCACGACUAUCCCCUACGCGGAGCUGCGCCGGGACGUGUAUCGUCCGCUCAUCAACGCGUUCGACCAGGCGAUGGAACGCCAGGGUGGGAGGGUCCCCUCCCCGGCUGCGGCGCCGUUCGAGCUGUGGUACAACUCGUCCAGGCUUUCGCCGACGCGGUUCGGCUACUUCGUGCCAACGGUCGAUCUGAUGCUGGAAGGGGGCAGGAACUGGACGGUGUUCGGCAUCAACUCCAUGGCACAGGUGAACCGCGCCACAGCGUGCUUCGCUUUCGUCGAGAUGAAGACGGGGGACAAGUCCGAGUAUGGCGGCCUUGCGCCGCCGGCGGUGGUACUCGGAGGGUUCCAGAUGCAGCAGAACCUGCUGGUGUUCGACGAGGAGAAGCAGACUCUCGGAUUCACCUCGCAGCUCACCGGAAGGGGGCUCUCGUGCGGCCAAUUCAAUUUUACGAUGUCUGCCUAA